This 254-nucleotide ribosomal RNA is filed under the name uncultured bacterium. RNAcentral describes it as "partial 16S ribosomal RNA". It matches the Rfam family "Bacterial small subunit ribosomal RNA", at positions 524 to 776 of the family's 1533-position model. The record is from RNAcentral.
UACGAAGGGUGCAAGCGUUAAUCGGAAUUACUGGGCGUAAAGCGUGCGUAGGCGGUGAUUUAAGUCUGGUGUGAAAUCUCCCGGCUCAACUGGGAGGGUGCGCCGGAUACUGAGGGGCUAGAGUGUGGGAGAGGAAAGUGGAAUUCCUGGUGUAGCGGUGAAAUGCGUAGAUAUCAGGAGGAACACCGGUGGUGUAAACGGCUUUCUGGACCAUAACUGACGCUGAGGCACGAAAAGCGUGGGUAGCAAACAGG